RNAcentral lists this long non-coding RNA (2277 nucleotides) under Equus caballus (horse). RNAcentral's name for it is "lncRNA (ENSECAG00000059475.1)". Lineage: Eukaryota; Metazoa; Chordata; Mammalia; Perissodactyla; Equidae. The record is from RNAcentral.
GUUUUACAAAGUGCUGGGUAGGAUAAUUUCCCUGAAAUUUUCCCUGGAUUUUAAUGACCUGAAGGAUUAUUCAAAAUUUCUUCCAGAACGCUAAAUGGAAGGGCGUGUGGUCUAGUCUGUAGUUUCCCCACUGUUUUUCUGGACGGGUCACACCUCUCGACUCAGCAGGCCACCCGAGAGGAGCGCCCUCCCCUGCUCUCUCAGCUGUAAUUUGUGGGAAUUACUUGUUGUAGAUGGUAUCCACUCCCUUCCCAUCUCUGCCCCCUCCACCUCUGCUUUGCUGCUGCCCUCCUCUCCUCAGUCAGGUGCAGCACAGCCCUCGGACAGGUGUUCCUACAGCGCUGCAGCAGGCUCUCGCUGUAACGCCUCCUUCACUCCAGCCUGCCCCUAACUUCCCCACCUGCAUUACAACUUGUCUUCUCUUUGUUUCAGGUGCUGUUUAAAUUAUGAAGACUUAUUCAGUGUAAAUCGUGCAUAUGCCUCCUAAUGUUUUGCGUUUUAAUUACAGAUGGCUUUAGAAAUCCUUCUUGUUGUGGAAGACAGAAACCCAACUUUAACAAGCUUGAGCAAAAAAAUUUCCUAUAUAGAAUUUGCUAUAUGGAUGUGGGGUUACUUCACACACUUCGAGGGCAGGAGUGUGGCUAAGCCUCAGGAACAUUGUCCCAACCAUCCGCGGCCAGGCUGGACUCAAGCUAUACUAACAUGGUGGCUCCCGCACUAUUGAUGAAGUCUGGCCUGGGCGAGUGAGACUGGGGAGCUGAGGUGACAGUUCCCAGAAGAAGGUAUGCUCUUUGGCAGACAAAAAGUGUUUACUACAGUUAAUACUAGUGAUUUUGAAAUUGAUUAUAAUAUAUUCCCUACUUACUUACACGACUGCUUGAUGCAGUAAAGCACCAGGUGUGUCUGUUCCCAUUUUAUAGAUGAGGAAACCAACGUAAGAGAAGUUACAUGAUUUGUCCAGGGACUCACAGCUGGUAAGUUAUAGAGAUGGAACUCAAGUCUUUUGCACCACCUCCUCCUCCUAGAGUCUUCAAUUCUUAAAAUAAAUCACCUCUGUUGUUCAGGUCUUUUUUGUCUAUUUGAAGGAAACAACAUUCUGGAUUAAUUUUGAGUAAAAGUACCCUGAAGGCACACUGAAUUUUCAGACUUGGACAGAUGAUCCUCUGAUGGAGCUGUAGUGUUUCCAUUUCUCUUUUAUUUGGGAGAAGGGCUAUUCUCCAUGCUCCCCUUUUCUUUUGAUUUCCUAUUGGCAUCUCUGUUUUGCUCCAUGCUUUUCAACAUUCAAGCCAGAUGCUAACUGUCUGUGUGAAGACACACUACUUCUAAAAUAUACCAAGAUGCCAAAUGUAUGUGUAAUAUUUGACCAUAUGUGAAUAUUCCAGUAAACUCCUGGGGACUUAUGUUCCAGUGUCAACACUAAACAACAGAAAGACUGUAAAUUCCAUCAGAAUCCAACCAGAAGAGAUGCAUAUGCCUCAUAUUUAUAAAUAUCCAAUAGACGUAAUGCAUUCUAAAUUUAACUUUUUAGUAUGAUAGAGUUGUUGCAUGCUAUCUCCAUGGAGCACAGCAGCUUGCAAAUGUACAAAUCGAUGGGACCUCCUCAGGUUAUUGUUGUCAUUACUAAUCAUAGCAAUUGGCUAUUGUAUAGAAACUUGCAAGCAAGGAACAUUUCUCAAGAAGAAUCCUAAAAGAAAAGAAGAGAAGAAUGUGUAAGCGUUAGGCAAAAGAUACAUUAAAAAAAUAAAGGAUUAUACUAUCUAUACUACAUGAACCAGGAAAAUUCCCCUGAAGCUGGACAGAGUGGCAUUAAAUUCUGGGACUUUAAGCAAAACAUUUCAAAGGACACACGAUACAGGCUAGAAUUUUGAGAAAUGUCUCCUCUGCUGCCCUCUCGGCCCCUGCAUCCUCUAGAGAUGCUGGUCUAAUCAUCAUUAAAAAGCAAAAGCACAAAGCAAAAUCACUUCAGGAGCAUUUACUACACACAAAGCUUUGUUUUGGACCUGGUGGGAGUUAAUGAGAUGAAACAGACAGGGCUUGGUUCUCAAGUCACUCAUGGUUUAGUACAGGGAAUCUCCAUUGUCAUCAAAGUGACAGAAUACAAGCCAGGAAGCAGGAGCAAAAGGCAACACUUCUUUGGAAUGGUCCAGAAUUGAGAGAGGCUGAGCCUCUUAGCUUGCCUCUGAGCUGGGGAAAGGAUCUGGUAAAAAGGGGGCUCUCUUACUGAACUGUACUCUCUUUUUCUAGCAAGUAUUAAGAGUCCUAUUGGUAAUAAUAACA